Molecule: transfer RNA, 89 nt
Filed under: Escherichia coli
Lineage: Bacteria; Pseudomonadati; Pseudomonadota; Gammaproteobacteria; Enterobacterales; Enterobacteriaceae
Also listed under: 2 other names
Description: tRNA-Gln
Rfam family: tRNA
About the family: Transfer RNA (tRNA) molecules are approximately 80 nucleotides in length. Their secondary structure includes four short double-helical elements and three loops (D, anti-codon, and T loops).
Source: RNAcentral
GGAGAGGUGGGCGAGUGGUCUAAGUCAGGGCUCUCUUGAGGUCAUAUGCUAUAAGUGUAUCGUAGGUUCGAAUCCUACCCUCUCCGCCA